Fundulus heteroclitus (mummichog) is the source of this 548-nucleotide long non-coding RNA. RefSeq lists it as uncharacterized. The transcript is spliced from 4 exons. Lineage: Eukaryota; Metazoa; Chordata; Actinopteri; Cyprinodontiformes; Fundulidae. The record is from RefSeq and is a predicted model, not a curated record.
UGAGAUACCAAGUCAUAAUUUCAAACUAUGAGAUAAGCCUACCGGAGCCGUUGAGAGACAAGCCUCCUUGGAGGAACAGCGUGGCUGAACUCAUUUACAGGCAUUGCUCCUAAAUACUUGGGACGUCUGCAGACAGGAUUUACCAAAACAUACAAAUGUUAUCGAGGGAAAUGACAUCAGCACCUAUGAGACAGACGAAGGAGGUUCCAUUGACCCGAAUGUGAAUAGAGAUCGAUUCCAGUGUCAUACCGCUCAUGACAGAUGAGCAGCUGAAGGUGUAUCUCCCAUCUUACGGUGAUCGACUGGCCCUUCUUGGAUAUUGCAGACGGAGGGAAAAUGAUCCUGCUGGCCGGAAAUCAAAACUUCUUGACAGACUCAGAGCAAAGAUGUCAAGAAACAAAAGCAAGGAUCAUAGGGAGGUUGCAGAAAAUGAAACCGUCAAAAAUGCUCAAAAAAAUGUACGGAAAGUUGAAUUAGGAUGGCUGAAUUUUCGAGAUGGAAAGUAUUCUCAAGUUAGGACAAAGAAAGGUGGUGGAACAAGAAAAGUU